CACGGGAAGCUGGACUCGAACCAACCACAUUCGGUUUUGGAAACCGCUAUUCUGCCUGAUGAAUUAUUCCCGC
This 73-nucleotide transfer RNA is filed under the name Vibrio phage 1.024.O._10N.261.45.F8. RNAcentral's name for it is "tRNA-Trp". The record is from RNAcentral. Lineage: Duplodnaviria; Heunggongvirae; Uroviricota; Caudoviricetes.